GGACUCUUAGCUCAGCUGGAUAGAGCGUCGGCCUCCGGAGCCGAAGGUCACAGGUUCGAAUCCUGUAGAGUCCG
RNAcentral lists this transfer RNA (74 nucleotides) under Sandaracinaceae bacterium. RNAcentral's name for it is "tRNA-Arg". It matches the Rfam family "tRNA". From Rfam's summary of the family: Transfer RNA (tRNA) molecules are approximately 80 nucleotides in length. Their secondary structure includes four short double-helical elements and three loops (D, anti-codon, and T loops). The record is from RNAcentral. RNAcentral also lists the same sequence under 1 other name. Lineage: Bacteria; Pseudomonadati; Myxococcota; Polyangiales; Sandaracinaceae.